CCAAGGGAGCCAGACUUGUCAGGAGGAGUUCAAAGGGAGCAAAAAAGAUGAACUCCUCAAAGGAAGAAUUUUUCUUUGCAUUUCUUCUUAAGGUGGGAGUGUAAAAUGGGAGUGGGUAUGUUAUACUUUUAUAGCUCAGUAAUUUUUUUUUUUUUUUAAGAUGAGGCUACCAGGAGAGAACAGAGAAGAAAAGACACUCUGAAAAAGGAAAAGAUGAGAGUUCUUAUGGAAAAAUGUGCCUUGGGAAAAAUUACAAUACUACAGCAAGGAGGUAGGGAAGAAAAACAUCUCUCUCCUAUAUUUUUAUCCAGGUAACAUCUGGUUUCAGUGAACUGGAGGAAAACACAAGGAGACAGUGGCAGGGGAAGAGCAGCCUACCGUGGCUCUCCAUGAGACAAGCUCAGAGUGUGAGAUGCACAGUUUUUCCAGAGUUCCAACACCUGGAGCAGAAUUAUCACUGUCCAGAUGAUGACCAAAACAAGAAUAAUCCAGCACUGUAAAGGAAAUUUUCAAGGGACAGGGUCUUGCUGUAUCACCCAAGGUGGAGUGCAUUGGCAUAAUCAUGGCUCACUGCAGACUUGAACUCCUGGGCGCAAGCAAUCCUCUCAUCUCAGCCUCCCAAAGUGCUGGAAUUACAGAUGUGCACCACUGCGCCAGCUUAUUUCUGGAUUAAGUUUUGGCAGAUAAGAGUGUUGGCCUUUAGAGGCUCCUGAACUACAAUGGCAACGAUUGAAGAAACUGUUGUUGAAAAGUCCACGCCAAAUUCUCGGUAUGUCACUGAAGACAAGGACAUUUUGGGUAGAACCAGGCUGCUAAUCCACUCUUGCCAGGAGGGAAGAUUUUUUCUCUUUCUGUAGUGAGCAACAACGCCACUCGAUGAAGAAACUGAGGUUCAUGGAAGUUAAAUAACUUGCCCACAGGGCACAACUAGUAGGCAGCUAAGCUAGGACUUCAACUGAGGUCUGUAAGACUUAAAGCACAUGCUAUUCCUGCUCCUCAAUAGCUUUCCUGCUAAGCACCAAGAGACGCUAGGCUGCCAGGAACAUCACAGCAGAGACCACCGUCAAUCAAUGCAUCUCCACCGUCUUUUAGACAUUCUUUUGAAGAAAGAUUUAGCUGCUAAAAGAAAAGAUGAAUAUACAAAAAGGAUAAUACUACCAUAUUUCAUCAUAUUGUCUCGUUUUAAUACAAGAAGACUCAUCCAGCUUAAACAUUUGAUGUUUAAGAAGCUAACCAGCAAGCUGCCCUCUGGGAAUGCAUACCAUCAGGUAUGGAUCAGUGGCCCUGAGAUCAUGUUCAUAACUCAGCAGCUUUGUACAAGCUGUCAAGACUCAGAACAUGGUACCCCAAAGUAUGGCACCUUGGUGUGCUGAGUACUGUGGACUGAAGGACAUCGGAAAUGUCUCAGAAGCUAUGUCUCUUUGACCUUCUCCCAGCCUCCUGUCUCCUACCUGUCUUUCUCCCUUGAAGUGAGUCAUGGCAACCAUAAUUCCUCUUUCCCAAGGUGUGUCACAGAAACUAGAACCCCUCUCCUCCAAGGGAAGCCGUGAAACCUAGAAAGGUCACUCUCUGCCUUCCCCCUUCUCCCUUGAAGACCCUCAUUCCAGAGGGGCCCUGCCCCAUAUUCAGGAGGGUUACACAAAGAGGUUAAGAAGAAUUUGAACAUUCAGGCCUUGCUGGGUUCCCUGCUCAGUCUAUCAGCAUUAGAUCACACCCUUUAGUCCAUCACAUUUCUACACCGCUGUCCAUUCUUCAUCAAACCGAAGAAUAAAAAAAGUUUUCCCUGGGUCUUUGGAUCUUCAUUUCUGAGGAGUCCCAUGUUACAUAAAACUUUGAUUACCUUCAUUAUGCUUUUCUCUUGUUAACCUGUCUUUUGUUAUAGGAGUGACCGUUAUGAUAGGUGAGGAAAGAUAUCACACAUUUCUGCCCCUACAAAGCCAAAAAUGUUGGCCGAGGAAUGCUGCUAAGCUCAAGGCCGUAGCUACUCACAAGCUUUUCUCUCCACUACCAAGACCUGUAGAUACAAUGUGAAUAAUUUUAACCUUGAUAUAGAAGGGAGCCAAUGCAGAAAAUAACUUCUCAGUUAUCCACAAAAGCUAGUAAAAGAGCUAACAUUCAUGUAUUUUUUUUCCCAACAAAUAUUUAUUCAACAUCUACUAAAUGACAGGUACAGUUCUAGGAACAGGGGUCCAGUAAUGAACACAAUUCCAAAAGUCCAUGGCUUCAUGACAAUUAUAUUCUUGUGUUGGGAGACAGACAAUAAACAAAUAUAUUGUGUAUAAAAUGUUGAUGAUGGUAUCAUGUCUUAGGUGAUGACAUAUUAACUGCCUUCUGUAAGCAAUCUUUUAUAAACUCUUUGCUGACUUGGAGGCACUGAAAGUUUUACAAAAACAUUGGCUUAUUUAUCAAAGAGGAAGUAUAGUAAAAUUUGCACUCAUUACAGGUUGAGUACCCCUUAUCCAAAAUGCCUGGGACCCAGAAGUGUUUCGAAUUUC
Molecule: long non-coding RNA, 2495 nt
Filed under: Homo sapiens (human)
Lineage: Eukaryota; Metazoa; Chordata; Mammalia; Primates; Hominidae
Description: HSALNT0247234
Source: RNAcentral